Vicia villosa (hairy vetch) is the source of this 1187-nucleotide long non-coding RNA. RefSeq lists it as uncharacterized. Lineage: Eukaryota; Viridiplantae; Streptophyta; Magnoliopsida; Fabales; Fabaceae. The record is from RefSeq and is a predicted model, not a curated record. The transcript is spliced from 2 exons.
UUAAAACAAUAGACCUUAUGCUAAACUCAAUUAAUCAAUUUACAUUAAAUAAAAACUAACUUGAAAGAAGAAUUAGGGUUCUUCUUGUGGCUAUCAGACUUCACGUUCCUCUUCUCCUCAAACUCACAUUCAAACGCGACGGCGCCGAUAACACAUCUCCGGCGAGAAUCUCUUUGCUUCUUCCCUCUGAUUCAAUUGCUCAAUAAUCCCCUUCACAUCUCCGUUCUCAAUCUCUUAUCAUCGCGACGGAGGCUUCAGAACCUAUCCUCACAAAACGCGAGCGGCGCACGGUGGAGGAAGCUUCUUCUCCGACUAGACGCGCACCGUCGUUUAUGACCGCAACACCAUAUUAAUCUCGCUCUUCCUUCUUAGUAUCAAUUUUCCUUUUGGAGAUUUGCGAAGUUCUUGAAGGAUUGAAGUAAUGGAUCGUGAGGAUGAUGAAGAUUCGUUGUUAUUCUUUGCCGAUUUGUGUCAUGGAGGUUAUGGUAAUUUGGAUCGUGAAUGAAAGUGAAGAAGAUUGAAUCGAGAUUGAGCGGUUGCUUUCUGAUUCUUCUUGUUUCCCUUUUCAGAUUGAAAAGACCGAUGCAAAUUGAGAUGGAAGAUUAUCGAUGGAUAUUGAAGAGAGUUCUUUUGGUGGUGAUGAUUCUUUUUGUGCCGGUUGAUUUUGUGAUGGUGAUGCGAUGAAGAUGAAGAUUGAAGGUUGAUGUAGUGUGAAGAUUAGAGAAUGGAGGUCCUGCGAAGAUUGAGGGAGAAGAGUUAUGGAAUGGUGGAGUUGGUGAAUGAUGAGAGAUGGAAGUGAAGGAUUCAAGGGGUUCAGAGAGUGAAGAAAGAGAGGAAGAUGAGGAAUGGAGAGAUGCUCUGUUAUAUAGAGAUUUCUCAGGUAAUUGGAUUGGAGUUAAAGCUUGGGCUCAUGAUGAAGAUUAGUGGAGCUUGGCCCUUGUAGCAUAAACUUGGAUUUCUUUUUCUUUGUUCAAACUUUGAUGGAAUGUAAUGUAAUAACUCAUACUUGGUUAUUGUAUAAAUGUGGAUGAGUUUUGAAUGGUUCAAUGUCUGGUUUUCAAUGUAUUUUACUUAUAAAGCACUUUUUGGAUUCUGUAAUAAGGAAUAGUCUUUGAUGGAUGCAUAUUUGUGAAACUUUGUAAUGGAAUUGGACUUUGUCUUGAAUAGUAGUGUAUACUUUUAUGUUA